AUGAGCAGGACGCAAGUGAGUAAUAACAAAAAAAAUUGGAAGUCUGAGAUUUCACUAAAAGUAAAAGUCUUCAUGUGGUAUCUUCGUAAGGGAGUUGUGCUAAUCAAAGACAAUCUUGCAUGAUGCAACUGGCCAUGAAGUAAGCAGUGUUGCUUUUGUGCUUAUGACGAGAUUGUCAAGCACCUCUUUUUCUAAUGCAAGUUUGCAUGUUCUACAUGGUCAAUCAUCCAAAUAGCGUCAAAUCUAUACCCCCACUAA
RNAcentral lists this ribosomal RNA (258 nucleotides) under Triticum aestivum (bread wheat). RNAcentral's name for it is "partial small subunit ribosomal RNA". Lineage: Eukaryota; Viridiplantae; Streptophyta; Magnoliopsida; Poales; Poaceae. The record is from RNAcentral.